UGAGGAAUAUUGGACAAUGGGUGAGAGCCUGAUCCAGCCAUCCCGCGUGAAGGACGACUGCCCUAUGGGUUGUAAACUUCUUUUAUACUGGGAUAAACCUACCCUCGUGAGGGUAGCUGAAGGUACAGUAUGAAUAAGCACCGGCUAACUCCGUGCCAGCAGCCGCGAUAAUACGGGAGGGUGCAAGCGUUAUCUGGAUUUAUUGGGUUUAAAGGGUCCGUAGGCGGGCUCGUAAGUCAGUGGUGAAAUCUCAUAGCUUAACUAUGAAACUGCCAUUGAUACUGCGGGUCUUGAGUAAAGUAGAAGUGGCUGGAAUAAGUAGUGUAGCGGUGAAAUGCAUAGAUAUUACUUAGAACACCAAUUGCGAAGGCAGGUCACUAUGUUUUAACUGACGCUNAUGGACGAAAGCGUGGGGAGCGAACAGGAUUAGAUACCAUGGUAGUCCACGCCGUAAACGAUGCUAACUCGUUUUUGGGG
Molecule: ribosomal RNA, 477 nt
Filed under: uncultured bacterium
Lineage: Bacteria
Description: partial 16S ribosomal RNA
Rfam family: Bacterial small subunit ribosomal RNA
Source: RNAcentral